RNAcentral lists this ribosomal RNA (504 nucleotides) under uncultured bacterium. Its description in RNAcentral is "partial 16S ribosomal RNA". It matches the Rfam family "Bacterial small subunit ribosomal RNA", at positions 30 to 523 of the family's 1533-position model. The record is from RNAcentral.
AUUGAACGCUGGCGGCAGGCCUAACACAUGCAAGUCGAGCGGUAACACAGGGAGCUUGCUCCUGGGUGACGACCGGCGGACGGGUGAGUAAUGUCUGGGAAACUGCCUGACGGCGGGGGAUAACUACGGGAAACGGUAGCUAAUACCGCAUAAUGUCCCAAGACCAAAGAGGGGGACCUUCGGGCCUCUUACUAUCAGAUGUGCCCAGAUGGGAUUAGCUGGUAGUUGGGGUAACGGCACACCUAGGCGACGACCCCUAGCCGGUCUGAGAGGCUGACCAGCCACACUGGAACUGAGACACGGUCCAGAGUCCUACGGGCGGCAGCAGUGGGGAAUAUUGCACAAUGGGCGCAAGCCUGAUGCAGCCAUGCCGCGUGUAUGAAGAAGGCCGUCGGGUUGUAAAGUACUUUCAGCGGGGAGGAAGGUGUUGAGGUUAAUAACCUCAGCAAUUGACGUUACCCGCAGAAGAAGCACCGGCUAACUCCGUGCCAGCCGCCGCAGUAA